AAAGCUUUAAGUUAAUUAAACUAUUAACCUUCAAAGUUAAAAUUAUAGGCCUCUCUGUAAGCUUUA
Molecule: transfer RNA, 66 nt
Filed under: Reduvius gregoryi
Lineage: Eukaryota; Metazoa; Arthropoda; Insecta; Hemiptera; Reduviidae
Description: tRNA-Trp
Source: RNAcentral